UAAUGUGAUAGAGGCGCGUUUUUAAAGAGUAACUAUACUGAAGCUGCCAGAGCUAGUGAUGUAUAGUGAAAGGUAAAAACGCCGAAGGGAUCUGCUGGCAACAGAUUGCCUGGUUGUUUGGCCAAUAGCCAACCGACUGUCAUCAUGCAAUGAUGAAGAGCUAUCGCUUAU
RNAcentral lists this non-coding RNA (171 nucleotides) under [Clostridium] cellulosi. RNAcentral's name for it is "Clostridium cellulosi Lysine sequence". It matches the Rfam family "Lysine riboswitch aptamer". From Rfam's summary of the family: Riboswitches are metabolite binding domains within certain messenger RNAs that serve as precision sensors for their corresponding targets. Allosteric rearrangement of mRNA structure is mediated by ligand binding, and this results in modulation of gene expression. This family includes riboswitches that sense lysine in a number of genes involved in lysine metabolism, including lysC. The record is from Rfam by way of RNAcentral. Lineage: Bacteria; Bacillati; Bacillota; Clostridia; Eubacteriales; Oscillospiraceae.